GUAGGGAAUCUUGCGCAAUGGGCGAAAGCCUGACGCAGCCAUGCCGCGUGAAUGAUGAAGGUCUUAGGAUUGUAAAAUUCUUUCACCGGGGACGAUAAUGACGGUACCCGGAGAAGAAGCCCCGGCUAACUUCGUGCCAGCAGCCGCGGUAAUACGAAGGGGGCUAGCGUUGCUCGGAAUUACUGGGCGUAAAGGGAGCGUAGGCGGAUAGUUUAGUCAGAGGUGAAAGCCCAGGGCUCAACCUUGGAAUUGCCUUUGAUACUGGCUAUCUUGAGUAUGGAAGAGGUAUGUGGAACUCCGAGUGUAGAGGUGAAAUUCGUAGAUAUUCGGAAGAACACCAGUGGCGAAGGCGACUCACUGGCCCAAUACUGACGCUGAGGCGCGAAAGCGUGGGGAGCAAACAGGAUUAGAUACCCCGGUAGUCC
This 425-nucleotide ribosomal RNA is filed under the name uncultured bacterium. Its description in RNAcentral is "partial 16S ribosomal RNA". It matches the Rfam family "Bacterial small subunit ribosomal RNA", at positions 354 to 796 of the family's 1533-position model. The record is from RNAcentral.